This is a long non-coding RNA of Manduca sexta (tobacco hornworm), 410 nucleotides long. RefSeq lists it as uncharacterized. Lineage: Eukaryota; Metazoa; Arthropoda; Insecta; Lepidoptera; Sphingidae. The transcript has 2 exons. The record is from RefSeq and is a predicted model, not a curated record.
AGUCAGUUUUCCUGUAAUGGUGCGCUAUAUAAAAGCAAAACGCAGCACUAUAAAGUUUCAAUAGCUUGUAGAUUAUUGGAGUAAGCACAUCCUGAGCGAAAAUGAAACCUACAUUUGCUGUCGUAUUAGUAAUAGCGCUAUGCAUUCAACUUUGUCAAGUUUCUUGUGACAAUUCGCCUAAAUUGACGAGCUCCUCGUCAGUCUCAUCUACUACUGCUAAGCCUUGGACGCAAAAAAUUAAAGAUGGUUUGGGUAAGUUCUUGCAAGGAGCGGCGGUGGUAGGUGCAGUGCAACAAGGCUUCCACAAUGCUCGAGGCAGCGGUAAACAUAAGUCGAUGGGGCAUUCCGCUGGCGGCUCUACAAAACCUAAACACUAAGCAUUUUUCGUUCAAUAAAUUAUUCUGAUUGUA